CAAACAGUAAAGCAAGAUUAAGCCAUUAAACUUUGGAAGUAUAUAUCAAUAUCAUUUUUCUAUUUUUUUUUUCUAAUAAUUUCCAUAAAAUUUUGUCGAAAAAAAAAGAAAAAAAUAACAAAUAAUAGUAAAGAUUA
RNAcentral lists this non-coding RNA (137 nucleotides) under Schizochytrium aggregatum. The record is from RNAcentral. Lineage: Eukaryota; Bigyra; Thraustochytrida; Thraustochytriidae.